UACGUAGGGUGCAAGCGUUGUCCGGAAUUACUGGGCGUAAAGGGCGCGUAGGCGGCCUUCUAAGUCGAACGUGAAAUCCCCGGGCUCAACCCGGGAACUGCGUCCGAUACUGGGAGGCUUGAAUCCGGGAGAGGGAUGUGGAAUUCCAGGUGUAGCGGUGAAAUGCGCAGAUAUCAGGAGGAACACCGGUGGCGAAGGCGGCUUGCUGGGCCAGUUCUGACGCUGAGGAGCGAAAGCGUGGGGAGCGAACAGG
This 253-nucleotide ribosomal RNA is filed under the name uncultured bacterium. RNAcentral's name for it is "partial 16S ribosomal RNA". It matches the Rfam family "Bacterial small subunit ribosomal RNA", at positions 524 to 776 of the family's 1533-position model. The record is from RNAcentral.